UACCUUUUGUAUAAUGGGUCAGCGACUUAUAUUCUGUAGCAAGGUUAACCGAAUAGGGGAGCCGAAGGGAAACCGAGUCUUAACUGGGCGUUAAGUUGCAGGGUAUAGACCCGAAACCCGGUGAUCUAGCCAUGGGCAGGUUGAAGGUUGGGUAACACUAACUGGAGGACCGAACCGACUAAUGUUGAAAAAUUAGCGGAUGACUUGUGGCUGGGGGUGAAAGGCCAAUCAAACCGGGAGAUAGCUGGUUCUCCCCGAAAGCUAUUUAGGUAGC
Molecule: ribosomal RNA, 274 nt
Filed under: Escherichia coli
Lineage: Bacteria; Pseudomonadati; Pseudomonadota; Gammaproteobacteria; Enterobacterales; Enterobacteriaceae
Description: partial 23S ribosomal RNA
Rfam family: Bacterial large subunit ribosomal RNA
Source: RNAcentral